RNAcentral lists this ribosomal RNA (164 nucleotides) under uncultured bacterium. RNAcentral's name for it is "partial 16S rRNA". It matches the Rfam family "Bacterial small subunit ribosomal RNA", at positions 355 to 511 of the family's 1533-position model. The record is from RNAcentral.
UAGGGAAUCUUCCACAAUGGGCGAAAGCCUGAUGGAGCAACGCCGCGUGUGUGAUGAAGGGUUCCGGCUCGUAAAACACCGUUGUAAGGGAAGAAUGACAUUGAGAGUAACUGUUCAAUGUGUGACGGUAUCUUACCAGAAAGGAACGGCUAAAUACGUGCCAG